GCGAAGUCCGGGCGAGCAGAGGCGGAAAUACGGAGGAGGCAAGCGUUAUCCGGAAUCAUUGGGGUUAAAGGGACCGUAGGCGGGCUUAUAAGUCAGAGGUGAAAGCACUGAGCUAAACUGAGUAACUGCCUUUGAAACUGUAGGUCUUGAAUGUUUGUGAAGUAGCUGGAAUGUGUAGUGUAGCGGUGAAAUGCAUAGAUAUUACACAGAACACCGAUUGCGAAGGCAUGUUACUAACAAAUUAUUGACGCUGAUGGACGAAAGCGUGGGGAGCGAACAGGAUUAGAUACCCCAGUAGUC
RNAcentral lists this ribosomal RNA (300 nucleotides) under uncultured Lactobacillus sp. RNAcentral describes it as "bacterial SSU rRNA". It matches the Rfam family "Bacterial small subunit ribosomal RNA", at positions 496 to 795 of the family's 1533-position model. Lineage: Bacteria; Bacillati; Bacillota; Bacilli; Lactobacillales; Lactobacillaceae. The record is from RNAcentral.